RNAcentral lists this ribosomal RNA (251 nucleotides) under uncultured bacterium. Its description in RNAcentral is "partial 16S ribosomal RNA". It matches the Rfam family "Bacterial small subunit ribosomal RNA", at positions 524 to 776 of the family's 1533-position model. The record is from RNAcentral.
UACGUAGGGGGCAAGCGUUGUCCGGAUUAUUGGGCGUAAAGAGCGUGUAGGCGGCCAGGUAGGUCCGUUGUGAAAACUCGAGGCUCAACCUCGAGACGCCGAUGGAAACCAUCUGGCUAGAGUCCGGAAGAGGAGAGUGGAAUUCCCGGUGUAGCGGUGAAAUGCGCAGAUAUCGGGAGGAACACCGAUGGCGAAGGCAGGUCUCUGGGCCAUAACUGACGCUGAGAAGCGAAAGCAUGGGAGCGAACAGG